RNAcentral lists this ribosomal RNA (1343 nucleotides) under uncultured bacterium. Its description in RNAcentral is "16S ribosomal RNA". It matches the Rfam family "Bacterial small subunit ribosomal RNA", at positions 28 to 1378 of the family's 1533-position model. The record is from RNAcentral.
GACGAACGCUGGCGGCGUGCUUAACACAUGCAAGUCGAACGGAAAGGCCCUGCUUUUGUGGGGUGCUCGAGUGGCGAACGGGUGAGUAACACGUGAGUAACCUGCCCUUGACUUUGGGAUAACUUCAGGAAACUGGGGCUAAUACCGGAUAGGAGCUCCUGCUGCAUGGUGGGGGUUGGAAAGUUUCGGCGGUUGGGGAUGGACUCGCGGCUUAUCAGCUUGUUGGUGGGGUAGUGGCUUACCAAGGCUUUGACGGGUAGCCGGCCUGAGAGGGUGACCGGCCACAUUGGGACUGAGAUACGGCCCAGACUCCUACGGGAGGCAGCAGUGGGGAAUAUUGCACAGUGGGCGGAAGCCUGAUGCAGCAACGCCGCGUGCGGGAUGACGGCCUUCGGGUUGUAAACCGCUUUCGCCUGUGACGAAGCGUGAGUGACGGUAAUGGGUAAAGAAGCACCGGCUAACUACGUGCCAGCAGCCGCGGUGAUACGUAGGGUGCGAGCGUUGUCCGGAUUUAUUGGGCGUAAAGGGCUCGUAGGUGGUUGAUCGCGUCGGAAGUGUAAUCUUGGGGCUUAACCCUGAGCGUGCUUUCGAUACGGGUUGACUUGAGGAAGGUAGGGGAGAAUGGAAUUCCUGGUGGAGCGGUGGAAUGCGCAGAUAUCAGGAGGAACACCAGUGGCGAAGGCGGUUCUCUGGGCCUUUCCUGACGCUGAGGAGCGAAAGCGUGGGGAGCGAACAGGCUUAGAUACCCUGGUAGUCCACGCUGUAAACGGUGGGUACUAGGUGUGGGGUCCAUUCCACGGGUUCCGUGCCGUAGCUAACGCUUUAAGUACCCCGCCUGGGGAGUACGGCCGCAAGGCUAAAACUCAAAGGAAUUGACGGGGCCCCGCACAAGCGGCGGAGCAUGCGGAUUAAUUCGAUGCAACGCGUAGAACCUUACCUGGGUUUGACAUGGAUCGGGAGUGCUCAGAGAUGGGUGUGCCUCUUUUGGGGUCGGUUCACAGGUGGUGCAUGGCUGUCGUCAGCUCGUGUCGUGAGAUGUUGGGUUAAGUCCCGCAACGAGCGCAACCCUUGUUCACUGUUGCCAGCACGUUAUGGUGGGGACUCAGUGGAGACCGCCGGGGUCAACUCGGAGGAAGGUGGGGAUGACGUCAAGUCAUCAUGCCCCUUAUGUCCAGGGCUUCACGCAUGCUACAAUGGCUGGUACAGAGAGUGGCGAGCCUGUGAGGGUGAGCGAAUCUCGGAAAGCCGGUCUCAGUUCGGAUUGGGGUCCGCAACUCGACCUCAUGAAGUCGGAGUCGCUAGUAAUCGCAGAUCAGCAACGCUGCGGUGAAUACGUUCCCGGG